This 506-nucleotide ribosomal RNA is filed under the name uncultured bacterium. Its description in RNAcentral is "bacterial SSU rRNA". It matches the Rfam family "Bacterial small subunit ribosomal RNA", at positions 28 to 526 of the family's 1533-position model. The record is from RNAcentral.
GAUGAACGCUAGCUACAGGCUUAACACAUGCAAGUCGAGGGGCAGCAUUUCUUUAGCAAUAAAGAAGAUGGCGACCGGCGCACGGGUGAGUAACACGUAUCCAAUCUGCCUUUUACUCGGGGAUAGCCUUUCGAAAGAAAGAUUAAUACUCGAUGGUAUAUGAUUACUGCAUGGUAAUUAUAUUAAAGAAUUUCGGUAAAAGAUGAGGAUGCGUUCCAUUAGAUAGUUGGUAGGGUAACGGCUCACCAAGUCUACGAUGGAUAGGGGUUCUGAGAGGCAGGUCCCCCACACUUGUACUGAGACACGGACCAGGCUCCUACGGGAGGCAGCAGUGAGGAAUAUUGGUCAAUGGACGCAAGUCUGAACCAGCCAUGCCGCGUGCAGGAAGACGGCUCUAUGAGUUGUAAACUGCUUUUGUACUAGGGUAAACCCUUCUACGUGUAGGAGGCUGAAAGUAUAGUACGAAUAAGGAUCGGCUAACUCCGUGCCAGCCGCCGCAGUAACAC